AUGGUCUCCAUAGCAAACAGUGAAGAGUUGACAGGUGGUGAAAGCGAGGACAAAUUUGGAAGCCCCAUACAAACUAAGGACAAUGUUCCCCCAGAAAUUAGAGUCCAGUGUGAGAUGCAGCUGGUGGAAUCUGGAAGAGGCUUGGUACAGCCUGAAAAGUCCAUGAAACUCUCCUGUGCAGCCUCUGGAUUCACAUUCAGUAGCUAUGUAAUGCACUGGGUCUGCCAGGCUCCAGGCAAGGGGCUGGAGUGGGUCACCUACAUAAGUUCUGAUAGUAGUAACAUCAGGUACACUGAUGCCGUGAAGGGCCGAUUCACCAUCUCUAGAGACAAUGCCAAGAACACCCUGUACCUGGACAUGAACAGUCUGAGGUCUGAAGACACAGCCACAUAUUACUGUGCCAGAGACACAGUGAGUGAAUGA
Molecule: non-coding RNA, 423 nt
Organism: Acomys russatus (golden spiny mouse)
Lineage: Eukaryota; Metazoa; Chordata; Mammalia; Rodentia; Muridae
Source: the annotation of a RefSeq genome assembly